Molecule: ribosomal RNA, 385 nt
Filed under: uncultured bacterium
Lineage: Bacteria
Description: bacterial SSU rRNA
Rfam family: Bacterial small subunit ribosomal RNA
Source: RNAcentral
AUUGAACGCUGGCGGCAUGCCUUACACAUGCAAGUCGAACGGCAGCGGACCUUCGGGUGCCGGCGAGUGGCGAACGGGUGAGUAAUAUAUCGGAACGUACCUUUCAGUGGGGGAUAACGUAGCGAAAGUUACGCUAAUACCGCAUAUUCUGUGAGCAGGAAAGCAGGGGAUCGCAAGACCUUGCGCUGAUUGAGCGGCCGAUAUCAGAUUAGCCUAGUUGGUGAGGUAAAGGCUCACCAAGGCGACGAUCUGUAGCGGGUCUGAGAGGAUGAUCCGCCACACUGGAACUGAGACACGGUCCAGACUCCUACGGGAGGCAGCAGUGGGGAAUUUUGGACAAUGGGCGCAAGCCUGAUCCAGCCAUGCCGCGUGAGUGAAGAAGGCC